AAAUAAACCUUUUAAAGUUGCUUCUUGUCGGAAAUUUUGGUUAUUAAAGCAAGAGAAGAUUACAGUCCUCGGACCUUUCCGACUUGGAGCGCCGUCUCUAGUUCUUUUGAUUUUUUAUUUUCCUGGCCUGGGUUUUAAUUUUCCCCAGCUUUGCUUAUUUGGAUCUAAUGGACAAAAUGGUGCAUGUGUGAAGUACAUGACACAGUGUUUGGGGCGGCGGAGAUUGUUCAGUCUGUGGAAUGCUUGCUUGCCUUGGACUUGAGAGCCGGGUCCACAGAAAUCUCGUAAAAUAGCGGAGUGUGGUGACUCGUGUUUGCAAACACAGCUGGGAGGAAGAGGCAGGCCGAUUCCCGGGGCCACUCGGCCGGCCAGUCUACCCUCCUCAGUGAGUUCCAGGACAGUGAGAAGCCUUGUGUGGAAGGGAGGAGGCUGCCGUAGGAAAGAUCUGGUCACACGUCCGCUGAGACAGGACAGCAGGAGGAGGAAGGCACAAUGUCUCGGUGAGAUGACCACAAUGCCUCGGUGAGAUGACCACGGAGCCACGAAUUUGUUUUCUUCUACCUGGAUUCAGCUUGUACUUCAACUUUGCAUCCAGGUUUCUAGAGAAAUCACCACUGCUCUUCCUUUGCCGUUUGGUGCUGCUUGGGGGUGACCAAUGAGACUGGCAGGCUCCCCAGACAUUUAUACACUAGUUCCCCAAGUGAGUCCCGAAAGCCAAGGCUGUCUCUGGUCACAUUAGAAGAAAAAGGAGGAAAUAAAAUGGUUAUUGUGCAAUGAUAUUAAGAGGUGGGUGAGAAGGGGCUGGAGAGAUGACUCAGUGAUUAAGAGCACUACCAGAGGAUCUGAGUUCGAUUCCUACCACCUUCGUGGAGUCUCACAACCUUCUGUAACUCCAGUUACAAAGGAUAUAAUGACCCCUUCUGGUCUCUGAGGGCACCAGGUACACAGGGUUCACAGACAUACAUGCAGACAAAAUACCCAUGCACAUACACUUGAAAGAUGUUUUUAAGAGGCGGACUUAGUAGAGCUGGUCCUCUGAGCUUAGCCUGACCAUCACCAUCUUGGGACAGGAGCUGCCACGGUGACUGAGCAGAGACCCCAGCUUGCAGCUGGAACGUAGCAGGUAGCAGAACUUUAACAAAAUUGAGGGGAUAAUUGAUACUGAGUCUGUUGGCACUUUUCUCUUGGGGACAAGGGAGACAACUAUAGAAAACUGCCCUGCUAGAAUCCAUUAGCCACCACCCCUCCUGGCUUGCUGCCAUAGACAGAUACCUAAGGCUCCCUAAGUGCAUGUAAAAGAAAACAGUUAACCAGGGUGGUGGGACUCGGGGCAGCUGCCUAAGGUAAUGUCCAAUAAUCUGUACACUGCCUUGAGUUAAAUUCAUUUCUCAUGGCUGAGUCAUUCUUUGAGUGGUUGGUAUUGUCCAGAUUUGGAGAUAGACAACUUUUUCAUCUCCCAAGAAAUCCAUAUGACAUUUGGUACCCGACGAUGAAUGUGGUGUGCUGUGUGUGAUGGGAACACCCUGUCAUAGUUUAGUUUCUGUUUUUAUUAAAUAUUCCAACAGGAAGCAGCCUGUGGGAGGAAGGAUUUUAUUCAGCUUAUAAUUCCAGGGUACAGUCCAUCAGGAAGUCAAGUCAGCGGGAACUCAGAACAGCCAUGUCACACAGUCAGAAGCUGCGAGAAAUGAAUGCACACAGAUGUGCUUGCUUGCUCAGCUGAAUUUCUCCACCCAUGGAGUUCAGGACUCCCUGCCUAGGGAAUAGUGUGCCCCACAGUAGCCUGGGUCUUCCCAGAUCAGUUAAUUACAACAGUCUCCCACUGACAGUCCCUCCCUGAGACUCUUCCCAUGUAAUUCUAGGUUGUGUUUAGUUGACAAAGCUAGAUCAACACUCCGAGUUCCUGCUGGACUGGGGAACUUGUGGUCCCUGAAUGUCGCUGUUUGGGGAGGCCUGCAGUGAGGUGUAGCCGUGGUAGCACGUACCUACGAUGGGGAGUCAGAUAUGCGGCUGAGGACAAACCGUUGCCUGAAGGAGGAACUCUGGCUAGAAGGGGACUUAUGGCCAACAUUAUCUGCUUGAUCAUCAGAUGAGGCAUAAGAAUUAAAAAGAGGAAGAUAAAGAUGCUAGCUGGCAUAGUCUAUAGCUGGUAGUGUGAAAAGACAAGAGUUCAAGUCCAUUCAGGGCUAAAGAGUUUAUCCUGGGAUCCAAAAAUCAUGGACCCCUUGGGAAAGAGAGAUACAUGCAGUGGGGAGCUAGGGACAGGAAGAGGAGAAGAUGAUUGAGAAGUUGAACUCUUAAUUGAAAGAAGAGAAAUAUCUAUAAUCCAGCAUGCAGAUAGGGAAAAUUUGGCAACCCCAAAGUAUCCACUUCUGAUCUAUUAAGAUUAUGGGAAGCUGGGCGGUGGUGGCACACACCUUUGUUUCCAGCACUCGGGAGGCAGAGGUGGGCAGAUAUCAGAGUUUGAGACCAGACCAACAGAGUGAGUUCCAGGACAGCCAGGGCUACACAGAGAAAUUCUGUCUUGAAAAACCAAGGGGGAAAAAGGUCAUGGGGAAACUUGUAUGCAGUUCAUGGGAAACCCUGGUAGUGUGUCUGCAGGAUGUGGGAGUGUGUGGUGUGAGCUGGAGUGCUGUGGAGGAGGUUAUAUUACCCCCAUACAUCCCUCUCACCAUGUCCUGGUUAACGUUAAGUGCCAACUUGUCACAACCCAGAAUUACUGGGCAAGAGAAUCUCAACUGAGGAAUUACCUACAUUGACCUGUGGAAUGUCUGGGGAUUUUCUUGAUUGUUAAUUGAUGUAGGAGGGCUCAGCCCAUUGUGGAAAGCACCAUUCCCUAGGAGGGAAGUCCCAGGCUGUAUAAGAAGGCUAGCUGGGCAUAGUAAGCUGCUGGGGGAUGUCUUUCUGUACGCUGUGAAUAUAUGUUGUUCCCAUUGGUUAAUAAAUAAGCUGCUUUGACCUAUGGCAAGGCAGCUUAGAAGCGGUAGGAAAAUCCAAGAGAGACAGGAAAGAAAAAGGCAGAGUCUGGAGAGACACAGCCUGCCGUCCAAGUAGUAACAUGCCAGCAGAUCGGUAAAGCCAGGGAACGUGGCAAAACAUAAAUUAAUAGAAAUGGGUUAAUUUAAGAUACAAGAGCUAGCUAGCAAGAGGCCUUCCAGAGGCCAUACAGUUUAUAAAUAAUAUUAAGCCUCUGAGAGAUUAUUUUGUAAGAGGCUGCGGGACCUUGGGGCGCAGCAGGACCAGAGAAAACUUUCAGCUACGGAAAGCAACAUCUUCCGUGGUCCCUGCCAGCUUCUCUGGCUGUAAGGUGAGUUCCUUUGUUGUAACAUGUAGAAUAGCAAGCAGGCACCAUAUGGAUGCGUUCGUUUCUCUCUGCCUCGACUGUGGAAGUGAUGUGGGCAGUUGUCUCAGCUGCUGCCACUGUGACUCCCUUAGUGACGGACUGUCUGUCCCCUGGAACUGAAGCCCAAUAAACCUUCCAGUCCCUGCACUCUUUUUUGGAUAAAGUGUUUUGUCACAGCAACAGAAAGGGAACUAAGACACAUUGCUAGUGUGACAUACAGGAGCAUGAGGGACAUCAGUCAUGUAAGACCUCUUAAAUCCUGGGUCUUGACUCUGCAUUGUGUGACCAGUGUGGUGGGUCAUGAACAAUAGUGAAAGAUCUUAGAAUGCACAAAGACCAAAGCUUAAUUCAGAUUCCAAAGUGGUGCAUUUAAGAUGUUUCUGGCCAUGCACACUCUGGCUUUGUCACAUGACUUAACGGCAGCCUUCUUUCUGAACACACUGUGCACUCUGGAUGUUGCCCUUGGAUCGUGCCACUCUGCAUACCAGGGAACAAUGCUUGAAAUUCCUCAGCUCAGGUUUGAGGCUACUGCAUGGUAGGAAUGGCAGUGUGUAAUUGUACAUGAAGUUUUGUGCUCUUAUGGAGACGUGGUUUAAUUACCAAAAAUAAAGACUUGAUAUGUUUCUCACA
Peromyscus maniculatus bairdii (prairie deer mouse) is the source of this 3970-nucleotide non-coding RNA. The record is from RefSeq and is a predicted model, not a curated record. NCBI's taxonomy places the organism in Eukaryota, Metazoa, Chordata, Mammalia, Rodentia, Cricetidae.